This is a long non-coding RNA of Antechinus flavipes (yellow-footed antechinus), 411 nucleotides long. RefSeq lists it as uncharacterized. The record is from RefSeq and is a predicted model, not a curated record. The transcript is spliced from 2 exons. NCBI's taxonomy places the organism in Eukaryota, Metazoa, Chordata, Mammalia, Dasyuromorphia, Dasyuridae.
GUCACACAGCUGGUACUUCACUGAGGUCACCAUCUGCAAAACUGGGCCCUAGUUCUCCUAGGUAAGCAUACUUCUUUCUUACUAAGUCCUGUCCAUCCAGUCCCCAAAGCAUUUAUUAAGCACCUACUGUAUGCUACCAGGCUUUAGGGCAUAAACAAGAAUAAAUAGCUAUCAGUGCUCUCAAGCAGAAGAAGCAAAAAACCGCUGAAUCUAGGGCAAGGUUGUGUAGACUCUCAGGGAUGUGUAUAGACUAUCUAUAAAGGGCAUUGCCAUGGACGCCGUCCCUCUUCACUCAGACUGAUUCUUGGAGUUUGGGGGAAGGAUCCCCAGCAUCACAGAAUGUUAGAGGGGAGAGAGAGGGGAAUUUGGAGGGUGAGAAUGAUUUCUUUCCUUUACAGAGGAGAAAGCUGA